UUGAGUUAGGAGUAGAUCUAGAGCAGUUUCAGUUUGUUGUUUGCAGAGUGAACGUUAUAAUUGUUGACUUUGUGCCAGCGGCGAAUUAAGAGUAAAAUUCGAGUCUCGAAAUCGACUUGUUCUUAAAGCAUAAGUAGCUUUGAAAAGUAUCAAUCAGCAUGUAAAAACGAAUGUUUAAACCGGAAGAGGUGAUGAAAGUGCGUUGAAAGUGCGUUCUCUGUCUGUGCUUGGAGACAGAAGAUUGAAAAUGAUAGCAGACGCGGGGAACACGAUGCGGAUGUUGGAGAGAAAAAAAGUACGAAGAUGCGAUUCGUGAACUUAUUGCCUGAUCAAAGUGAACGGUUGGUAGUUGAGGCAAGCGCGUCGUGCCUUCAGACGAAGGUACAUUCCACCCUUGAAGCUAUCCACUGAUACUGCAUUGCUGAUCAGAGUGUCGCAGGUAUCGAAGUACGUGUACAGUUUGUCGAUAUUCACGGAUUCGAAUUUCACACCUGGCACUUGCAGUUCGCUCUGAGAGUACUGAGACUGGAAUUUCUUGUAUCUGCGCGAACAUAACGCGUAACAAUUAUUUGUUGCAGGAUAGCAAAAUUUAGCUCUUCGUCGAGACUUCUGCUUGUAACAAUACGAAUACGUUAAUAACGAUCUGAUGUCGUUCACAUAUCUUUCUGACAUCUUCUAAACAGCCAACAUACCUGAAGAAAAGUCGAAGUUGAAGCCAAGGAUGUCACGUGCAAGUGCGUCGUACAUGCCGUAGAAUCUGGUGUUGCAGGAGUCUACGUUCCCUUCUAUCACGUUGCCGAGCAUGUUCAAACCUUCCGUGGCGGAUUUAACCCUUUGGCGGCCUGAAGUCAUCGUACCGAUCACGUCGAUCAUGAUCGAUGUUUAAACCAAUAGAAAAUCAAUAUUUAGACAUCCUUCGGCUAAUCUACCAAAUUUUAAUAUUCACCUAGACCGGUAAAUAUCAACUUCACGCGUAGUAAUUAAAAUACUCGCGAUGCAAUGGCCAGUUGAAAACUGCCUUCAAGACUCCCCUGGUAAGCGUGUCUCGUUGGACGAACUAAUUAUUUUUCACGCAUUUUAAAAAACGCGAGAAUCGUCCGAAGAACGCUUCAGAAUGAGCCCAUUGAAUGCUCGAUGGACGUUUCGAAUAUUCUAACGACUGUGCUGAUUCAACGAACAUCGUUUUAGCCAAGCUAGAACUUUAUCCCAGUCUGUGUAUAUAUAUAUAUUUUAUGUAAUUCUGAUAAUAGUUUAAUAAUCUAAAAAGAUGACAAGCACCUUUGAGAGCCUCAUUAUAGUGUUAUUAGCGUCAAGACUGCCCCACUACCUUAGCUAACGUAAAGAGAGUUAUUUGAAUGGAAAAUUCUUCUAUGAUCUGGAAGCGAGUAAAUAUGCUGACCAGGCUCGGUAUGUUCCUCCAUCUACAUCAAUGAAACAAUAUUACGAUUAUUAGAGAGUGUUACUUAACUUAGUAAUUCUUAUAUCGAUCCGCAAUCUUUUAAAUUAUUCUCUAUGCUGGCUUUUAUACUGAACUAUUUUCUAUACGCAGAAUAUAUCUCUGUCAUUUCUUAAAUCGAAGUAUGAAUUUUUAAUCUGGUCAAAUGUAUCAAUCAAAUGUAUAUUAUAUAUGCAGCUUAAGAUAUCAAGUAAAAGUGCGCCGAGGACUGACAAAUUUCCUUACACGAACGAAUGUAAGACGAUCUAAGCGAUAAAAGAGAUGCAAUGAUUCUCAGAACCAAUGACAUAGAGCGUGACGUGGAUCAAAGGCAAAAUACGAGCACUAAAAGUGUUAUUGUUUCAAUAGAUUAAUGUGAGAAUAACAGGCAUAUGGAAAAACACUAAAGUUAAUGGAAUGGAUUUCUCAGACUUUUACGGAACGUUAUGUUGAAUGUAAAAAAGAAGGAAAAAAUAAUUAUAUUUGUCGCGUGAUUUUUGUUCUCUAAACGAAAUAGAAUUAUACUAUUUUCGAAAGCUUAUUAAUUAAUACG
Molecule: long non-coding RNA, 1988 nt
Organism: Bombus terrestris (buff-tailed bumblebee)
Lineage: Eukaryota; Metazoa; Arthropoda; Insecta; Hymenoptera; Apidae
Exons: 9
Source: RefSeq, a predicted model, not a curated record